GUCCACGCCGUAAACGAUGGGCACUAGGUGUCGGGGGUAUCCACUCCCUCGGUGCCGCCGCUAACGCAUUAAGUGUCCCGCCUGGGAAGUACGGUCGCAAGAUUAAAACUCAAAGGAAUUGACGGGGGCCCGCACAAGCGGUGGAGCAUGUGGUUCAAUUCGAUGCAACGCGAAGAACCUUACCUGGGUUUGACAUCUGGCGAAUCCCGGUGAAAGCCGGGAGUGCCCGCAAGGGAGCGCCAAGACAGGUGCUGCAUGGCUGUCGU
This 266-nucleotide ribosomal RNA is filed under the name uncultured bacterium. Its description in RNAcentral is "partial 16S ribosomal RNA". It matches the Rfam family "Bacterial small subunit ribosomal RNA", at positions 793 to 1055 of the family's 1533-position model. The record is from RNAcentral.